Non-coding RNA from Leptonychotes weddellii (Weddell seal), 1079 nucleotides. NCBI's taxonomy places the organism in Eukaryota, Metazoa, Chordata, Mammalia, Carnivora, Phocidae. The record is from RefSeq and is a predicted model, not a curated record.
CCCUCUCCCCCCUUUCUGUCUCUCUCAUACACACAUCCUGUUAGUUCUGUUUCCCUGGAGAACCCUAAUACAACUGGUUUUCUCUUUGAAGCCUCUAAUGAUCUAGAUGGCAUCGUAUAACCAGCAUCAUUUAACUGAAGUCUGCUAACAGAGCUACUUCUUUAAAGCUAUCACUACGCUUUUCCUCAUGUACGGGCCACUCGGAAUCAAAACGAGCAAAUGAAUCUUGAGGAAAAGUCAUUUGAUCUAAACAACUCAUUCACAGAGCAGUAUGUAAAUGCCUUCUGUGCAGCCGCACCCCAUUAAAUCAUCUUCUUUGGGCACCGUCUUCUCAAAAUACCUACAGACCUUCGAGGGAGAUGCUGAUGCCGUCUCUGGGGAUUUAUGUUGUCCGGUUUUCGUGCACGUGGAUGCGCAUAAGACCUCCUUAUGUACUUUGGGCCAGUAUAUGAAGUACUCCACACAACACGGCACUUGAGAGGAACCAGUUUCAGACAUGGUGGCUGAAGUCCUUAGUGCUCGCUCCAAUGGGGUCGGCGGCUUUGAAGGCACGGUGGGUCCCCUGUGGACCCACCCAGUGUGAAUCCAACCGUACUGGGCCUGUGCUCUCUCCCGCUGACGCCAUCUGUGCUAACCUCACCAACCUCAAGCACAGGGCUGUGACAAAAGGAGGACUGGGGGUCACUUGCCCUGCCUUCUCCAAUGGGAACGCGAUGUGCUUUUGCUCUGCAUAAACUCUGCUUUCUGCUUUUUCGGUAAAGUUGAACAUUACCCCACCUCUUGAAGAACUCUACUGCAAGUAGUUCAUCUUGAAAUUUCAUCAAAAAUGGAUUUGCACAGAUUUAACAUAAUAAUCUUCAAGCGUGUCUACAAAUUUGAAGAGUCUGAUCUAGAAUUUGGAAAGGUAAAAUUGAGAAGAAUAAUCCAGCUGAAGGGGCACAGAAUGAAGAGAGGUGAGAAUAUUUGGGAGGAAAAGGUUAGCCCUGUGAGAUACAAGGUUGAGAAUCAAGACAGAAAAAGAAAAAUUAGAGAAGUUGGAAAACCAGAUAGGUGGCUGUACACUUUCCUUAAAAAAAAAA